UGAGGGAUUGGUUUGUUUGACUUAAAGCUCCUUUUAACAGCAGAGCCAGAGCUUAUUCCAGUAUACAAAAUACCCUCCAGGACUGUACUACCUGGGUUUUUGUUUAACACCUACAAAGGUGUGAAAAGCUAUCAAUAACUUGAAAAAAAAAAAAAAAAGACUUUAGCAGGAAGAUAUCUCUUUUUUCCUGCUUUACUUAGCAAGCAAGCUGUAGGUGGCUGUAUCUUGUUAGUUUAGGGACAAUACAAACACAUAAAUCCUUUGGACCAGAAUAAGAAAUAUAUUAAUUCUGCAUACAGAAAGAUACUUUAAUGAACAGAAAGUGACCUUUUUGUUACAUCGUAACUGAUUCAUAGGGACACAUCAAACGCCCAACACUCAAAAGCAUGCCAACUUCUAGUCCACUCUCCAUUUUUGCAAUUACAUGAUCAAACGAUUACUGAUAUCUCCAUAGUUAUGAACUGCCUCCGUAUGCCAAUAGCCUCUGCCUUAGCCUUCAUUUCAUAGAAACAUAAAGACUGUUGACAAGUGAUUUGACAUCAAACUAUUUUGAAUGCGGUAUUUAGAAAAAAUAGUGCAUACACACAGAGUCUGCAGCUGCCUCUGACAAGCUUAUGUAGCUGCUUCCAGAUCUUCAGCUUUACAGUGUUAAUCAGUAUUUAACAUACACUUUACAGCAUGUACUUUCUUGAUAGUUGCUUAGGCUUUCAGUGUAUUGGAUAUACAGUGCAGCAGCCACUACGCUGAUUGAUCACAUACCUCAAAAUAAUUAAACCAAGCACAGCUUAAGGCAUUGUCUCAGGGAGAAGCGAUAAAUCUGUAGAUAUUCUUUCUCUACUGAUUUCCUUGAAAAUUUAAAAAAAANAAAAAGAAAAAGAAAAAGAAAAAGAAAAAGAAAAAGAAAAAGAAAAAGAAAAAGAAAAAGAAAAAAAAAAAAGAAAAAAGAAAAGAAAAAGAAAAAGAAAACAAGAAAAAAACAACAUAGUAUUUCUAUCAUUAUUCAGAAAUACUUUCUGUCUUAAACAGAUACAAAUGACUCUGGAGGCGAAGCUCAUCUUCAUUACUCAUCAUCUGUGCAUCUCCUGUGAUGACAUGGCAGGACUGAAACCAGCUAAGGUAAAUAAUAACCCUUUUUGACCUUGUGAUAUUUUUAUGUGGUAUUUUGUGAUACUUGCUGUUCAAACACUCAUGCCAAGACUUCAUUUUUCCAGAAUCCACAUGAUGGAAGUUAGCUUUUCAGGACACUUGCUGUACACUGAGUAACUGCAGCUGGUGUAGCCUAGAACAUCAGUGUUUGCUUAGGAACUCUGCUUUUAAGCAGACUUUUCAAAACAGACAAAAGGAGGUUUAAGAACAAAUCAAACCUAACAACAACAACAAAGACAACCAGAAAAAUGAGAUAAACACCUGCAGGUAAAACUGAAAUAUUGAAUUCAAAAUAAUAUAUGACAAGAAAUAGGUGUUUUCAGUAUAUGUGGUUCUUCUUGCAGUAAUAAAUUGAUCAGUGGUACCUUGCUUAAGGGCA
This 1525-nucleotide long non-coding RNA is filed under the name Anser brachyrhynchus (Pink-footed goose). RNAcentral describes it as "lncRNA (ENSABRG00000013366.1)". The record is from RNAcentral. Lineage: Eukaryota; Metazoa; Chordata; Aves; Anseriformes; Anatidae.